RNAcentral lists this transfer RNA (77 nucleotides) under Escherichia coli. RNAcentral's name for it is "tRNA-Arg". It matches the Rfam family "tRNA". Rfam says of the family: Transfer RNA (tRNA) molecules are approximately 80 nucleotides in length. Their secondary structure includes four short double-helical elements and three loops (D, anti-codon, and T loops). Lineage: Bacteria; Pseudomonadati; Pseudomonadota; Gammaproteobacteria; Enterobacterales; Enterobacteriaceae. The record is from RNAcentral.
UCUCUUGUAGCUCAGCUGGAUAGAGUACUCGGCUACGAACCGAGCGGUCGGAGGUUCGAAUCCUCCCGGAUGCACCA